AUUGAACGCUAGCGGGAUGCUUUACACAUGCAAGUCGAACGGCAGCGCGGACUUCGGUCUGGCGGCGAGUGGCGAACGGGUGAGUAAUGUAUCGGAACGUGCCCAGUAGCGGGGGAUAACUACGCGAAAGCGUAGCUAAUACCGCAUACGCCCUACGGGGGAAAGCAGGGGAUCGUAAGACCUUGCACUAUUGGAGCGGCCGAUAUCGGAUUAGCUAGUUGGUGAGGUAACGGCUCACCAGGGCGACGAUCCGUAGCUGGUUUGAGAGGACGACCAGCCACACUGGGACUGAGACACGGCCCAGACUCCUACGGGAGGCAGCAGUGGGGAAUUUUGGACAAUGGGGGCAACCCUGAUCCAGCCAUCCCGCGUGUGCGAUGAAGGCCUUCGGGUUGUAAAGCACUUUUGGCAGGAAAGAAACGUCGCGGGCUAAUACCCCGUGGAACUGACGGUACCUGCAGAAUAAGCACCGGCUAACUACGUG
RNAcentral lists this ribosomal RNA (484 nucleotides) under uncultured bacterium. Its description in RNAcentral is "partial 16S ribosomal RNA". It matches the Rfam family "Bacterial small subunit ribosomal RNA", at positions 30 to 507 of the family's 1533-position model. The record is from RNAcentral.